This 492-nucleotide ribosomal RNA is filed under the name uncultured bacterium. RNAcentral's name for it is "partial 16S ribosomal RNA". It matches the Rfam family "Bacterial small subunit ribosomal RNA", at positions 29 to 507 of the family's 1533-position model. The record is from RNAcentral.
AGUGAACGCUGGCGGUAGGCCUAACACAUGCAAGUCGAACGGCAGCACAGUAAGAGCCUGCUCUUACGGGUGGCGAGUGGCGGACGGGUGAGGAAUACAUCGGAAUCUACUUUUUCGUGGGGGAUAACGUAGGGAAACUUACGCUAAUACCGCAUACGACCUACGGGUGAAAGCAGGGGAUCUUCGGACCUUGCGCGAUUGAAUGAGCCGAUGUCGGAUUAGCUAGUUGGCGGGGUAAAGGCCCACCAAGGCGACGAUCCGUAGCCGGUCUGAGAGGAUGAUCAGCCACACUGGAACUGAGACACGGUCCAGACUCCUACGGGAGGCAGCAGUGGGGAAUAUUGGACAAUGGGCGCAAGCCUGAUCCAGCCAUACCGCGUGGGUGAAGAAGGCCUUCGGGUUGUAAAGCCCUUUUGUUGGGAAAGAAAAGCAGCAGGUUAAUACCCCGCUGUUCUGACGGUACCCAAAGAAUAAGCACCGGCUAACUUCGUG